Molecule: ribosomal RNA, 492 nt
Filed under: uncultured bacterium
Lineage: Bacteria
Description: partial 16S ribosomal RNA
Rfam family: Bacterial small subunit ribosomal RNA
Source: RNAcentral
AGUGAACGCUGGCGGUAGGCCUAACACAUGCAAGUCGAACGGCAGCACAGUAAGAGCUUGCUCUUACGGGUGGCGAGUGGCGGACGGGUGAGGAAUACAUCGGAAUCUACUUUUUCGUGGGGGAUAACGUAGGGAAACUUACGCUAAUACCGCAUACGACCUACGGGUGAAAGCAGGGGAUCUUCGGACCUUGCGCGAUUGAAUGAGCCGAUGUCGGAUUAGCUAGUUGGCGGGGUAAAGGCCCACCAAGGCGACGAUCCGUAGCUGGUCUGAGAGGAUGAUCAGCCACACUGGAACUGAGACACGGUCCAGACUCCUACGGGAGGCAGCAGUGGGGAAUAGUGGGCAAUGGGCGCAAGCCUGAUCCAGCCAUACCGCGUGGGUGAAGAAGGCCUUCGGGUUGUAAAGCCCUUUUGUUGGGAAAGAAAAGCAGCAGGUUAAUACCCCGCUGUUCUGACGGUACCCAAAGAAUAAGCACCGGCUAACUUCGUG